UGUAACGACAUAUGUACACUUGGUAUCUUUUAUUUACGUGUUAGUUUAUGGUUUGCUUUUAGCUAAAACUUUAGCUAAAUUCGCUAGUUAGCAUUUGUUAGCUCUCGGCUAACUACAAGAAGUCGUAUAUAUCAAUGUACUUUGUCCCUUUUUUUAUAACGUUAUCGGCCCUACCACGGCAUGUUUAUAGUUGUUACACUGUGCUUCCCGUAUUAAUCUUCAAAUUUUGUGUGACUGAUAGGCGGUUCCAGUGCCGUCGAUUCUUACUAAAUUCUAACCCAGUGUGGAGCUGCAACAUCGUUAUGUCUUGUCAGUACCUCCUCCUCCUGCUGCUGCUGCUGAGUGUGGGAGUCUCAGCGGUAGAAGUCCAACGCCCUCGCGGUGUCCCUUUAUCAAAACGGCAGUUCUAUGAAGAGGGCAAACCUUUUACUUGCCUGGAUGGCUCCCGCACUAUUCCCUUUGACAGAGUGAAUGAUGACUACUGCGACUGCCAGGACGGCUCUGAUGAGCCAGGCACUGCUGCUUGUCCCAACGGCAGCUUCCACUGCACCAAUGCAGGUUUCCGACCGGGCUUCAUCCCUUCCUCCCGCAUCAAUGACGGAAUCUGUGACUGCUGUGACACAACAGAUGAGUACAACAGUGGGGCUGCCUGCCAGAACACCUGCAGGGAGUUGGGGCGCAAAGAGAGGGAGAGCCUGCAGAAGAUGGCAGAGAUCGCUAAGGAGGGCUUUCUGCUCAAACAACAACUUAUUCAGGAGGCCAAGAGGGGUCUAGAGGAUAAGAAGGCCAAACUUUCAGAUGUUCAGGUCAGUAAGAAGGAUCUGGAAGAGAAGGUGGAGGCUCUGAGAACUGUCAAGGAGACUGCAGAGCAGCCAGAGAAAGAAGCCAAAGAGCGCCAUCUGAAGGCCUGGGAAGAUGAAAAAGCUGUCAUUCGCAUGGAGAAGGACAAGGCUAGAAUGGCUGAGGUGUUUCUUGAACUGGAUGAUGAUGCAGACGGCUUGGUCUCAGUGGCUGAGCUUCUGUCCCAUUCUGAGCUUGACCCAGAUUCAGAUGGUUCAUUCACAGAAGCAGAUGCUCAGGGACUGUUGGGAGGAGUGGACAACGUGGACACAGUAGCAUUUGAGUCAGUUUGGAAUAACAUCAAAGCAAAAUACAUAUCAGAGACCAACGCAGACACCCCAGCACCAGUGGAGACUGCACAGGAGGAGAUGAGGGAGCCAGUCUCUGACAGUGACUCUGAGCAGUACCCUGAAGAUGACAUCCCAGAGGAAGAAGAGGAUGAUGAAGAAGAGGAUGAUGAUGAUGAUCCAGAUGAGAGAGACUAUAAGAGCCCUUCUACGAUACAGACUCAAGAAACGAAGGAUGACGAUGAUGAGGGGACUAUGCCACCCUAUGAUCAAGAAACGCAGAACCUCAUUAAUGCUGCUCAGAAAGCCAGGGAUGAGUUUGAUGAGGCUGAGAGAGCUCUCCGGGAAGUGGAUGAUCAGAUUAGGAACCUUGAGAAGGAAAUCUCCUUCGACUUUGGACCCAGUGCUGAGUUCGCCUACCUCUAUAGCCAGUGUUAUGAGUUGUCUACUAGCGAGUAUAUCUACAGGCUAUGUCCGUUCAACAGAGUAUCCCAGAAACCCAAGUAUGGUGGAUCAGAAACUAACCUCGGAACAUGGGGAAAAUGGGCAGGUCCUGAGGAAAACAUCUACUCUGUGAUGAAAUAUGAACAUGGAACAGGGUGCUGGCAAGGCCCUAACAGAUCCACCACGGUUAAGUUAACAUGUGGAAAGGAGACAGUUGUGACAUCUACCUCAGAGCCCAGUCGCUGUGAGUACCUGAUGGAGUUCAUCAGCCCUGCUGUCUGCCAGGAGCCCCCAAGCCUGGACUCAGUGCUUCAUGAGCACGUAGAGCUCUAGAUCCACUUGAUUUUUACAGCCUCCCUUUUAGAAGAAGAGCAGGACAGCAGCAAGAGCAAGGUUGUUCUUGAGGGACCACAGUCACUGCAGCAACAUGAAGUGCCAUGCCGUGAGCAGCACCACCUUGGCGUCUAUUAACAAUCAAGAAUAAUUUUAUGGAAAUUCCAAUGAGUGGUUAUGUUGUCCAAUUUCCACUGCUACCUGUUGUGUUGUUUCUGAUUUGUGUCAAAUGUAGUCAUUCCAUUGUUUUCAAAUAAAGUUCAUUUUAUCAUA
Siniperca chuatsi (mandarin fish) is the source of this 2177-nucleotide RNA transcript. It is a transcript of the gene named protein kinase C substrate 80K-H, with no coding region annotated. The record is from RefSeq and is a predicted model, not a curated record. NCBI's taxonomy places the organism in Eukaryota, Metazoa, Chordata, Actinopteri, Centrarchiformes, Sinipercidae. The transcript is spliced from 18 exons.